GAUGAAGAACGCAGCGAAAUGCGAUAAGUAGUGUGAAUUGCAGAAUUCAGUGAAUCAUCGAAUCUUUGAACGCACAUUGCGCCCCUUGGUAUUCCAUGGGGCAUGCCUGUUCGAGCGUCAUUUGUACCCUCAAGCUAUGCUUGGUGUUGGGCCUCCGUCCUCCUCCCGGGGGACGGGCCCGAAAGGCAGCGGCGGCACCGCGUCCGGUCCUCGAGCGUAUGGGGCUUCGUCACCCGCUCUUGUAGGCCCGGCCGGCGCUUGCCGACACAUCAAUCUUUUUUCCAGGUUGACCUCGGAUCAGGUAGGGAUACCCGCUGAACUUAAGCAUAUCAAUAAGCGGAGGA
Molecule: unclassified non-coding RNA, 344 nt
Filed under: soil metagenome
Description: partial contains 5.8S ribosomal RNA, internal transcribed spacer 2, and large subunit ribosomal RNA
Rfam family: 5.8S ribosomal RNA (bases 1-120)
Source: RNAcentral